GCUGACACGUCCCGGCCAAUCUCCAGCAGACCCUCCCUCCCAGACCCUCCUACUUCCUGGACAGCAUCCAUGUUGAAAAAUAGUAUUUUUGCUUUUAUGGGAAACAUGGAUGCUGUCCAGGAAGUAGGAGGGUCUGGGAGGGAGGGUCUGCUGGAGAUUGGCUGGGACGUGUCAG
Molecule: non-coding RNA, 175 nt
Organism: Pelobates cultripes (western spadefoot toad)
Lineage: Eukaryota; Metazoa; Chordata; Amphibia; Anura; Pelobatidae
Source: the annotation of a GenBank genome assembly